This 490-nucleotide ribosomal RNA is filed under the name uncultured bacterium. RNAcentral describes it as "partial 16S ribosomal RNA". It matches the Rfam family "Bacterial small subunit ribosomal RNA", at positions 29 to 506 of the family's 1533-position model. The record is from RNAcentral.
GUGAACGCUGGCGGUAGGCCUAACACAUGCAAGUCGAACGGCAGCACAGUAAGAGCUUGCUCUUACGGGUGGCGAGUGGCGGACGGGUGAGGAAUACAUCGGAAUCUACUUUUUCGUGGGGGAUAACGUAGGGAAACUUACGCUAAUACCGCAUACGACCUACGGGUGAAAGCAGGGGAUCUUCGGACCUUGCGCGAUUGAAUGAGCCGAUGUCGGAUUAGCUAGUUGGCGGGGUAAAGGCCCACCAAGGCGACGAUCCGUAGCUGGUCUGAGAGGAUGAUCAGCCACACUGGAACUGAGACACGGUCCAGACUCCUACGGGAGGCAGCAGUGGGGAAUAUUGGACAAUGGGCGCAAGCCUGAUCCAGCCAUGCCGCGUGGGUGAAGAAGGCCUUCGGGUUGUAAAGCCCUUUUGUUGGGAAAGAAAAGCAGCAGGUUAAUACCCCGCUGUUCUGACGGUACCCAAAGAAUAAGCACCGGCUAACUUCGU